CUGCGGAGAAAGAAGCAUUUCCCGGAGGAAGCAGUGGUUCUGUGCCAGCCUCUGCUGCAGGAAGGGAGGCCAUGCCAGGCACAGGCACAGGAGAUGAGGGUGCUGGGAAGGCUUCUCCAUCAGCUUGGAUGAAGAAAGUUUUGAAGCCUUUGGAGCCUCCUGCAGAUGUGUCUACAGGGAGGACUUCUCCAGCUUCUCCAGCUCCUACCUUGGAUGCUAUACGCAAGCCCAGCUCCCAUCACAGGGGUACUCCAACAGGGAAAGUCCAAGAUACAACAGAUAAGAUGUCCCUGCAACCAUCCAAACAGAUUAGGCAAGAGCUGAAGGAACCCCUGCAGACAAGAGAAGAGAUGGACAUAGUGCUUCAGUGGAAGGUGGCAUUUCUUGAAGGAAGCACUCCAUCUUCGGUGCGAGCCCCUGCUGCAGGAAGGACGGCAAUGCCAGACACGGG
This is a long non-coding RNA of Passer domesticus (house sparrow), 451 nucleotides long. RefSeq lists it as uncharacterized. The transcript has 5 exons. The record is from RefSeq and is a predicted model, not a curated record. NCBI's taxonomy places the organism in Eukaryota, Metazoa, Chordata, Aves, Passeriformes, Passeridae.